Triticum aestivum (bread wheat) is the source of this 99-nucleotide non-coding RNA. The record is from Rfam. Lineage: Eukaryota; Viridiplantae; Streptophyta; Magnoliopsida; Poales; Poaceae.
GCACUGAAAGUGAGUGUUCGAGGAAAGCAAACUGGAAAAAUCCAUCUCAAAGUGCUGAUGUUUCCAGUUUGUUUUUCUCCAAUAUCUCAUUUUCGGUAG